AGCGGCGGGGGCCGCGGACGGGAGAGGGCUCGCCCCGCAAGGUCUCUCUUGCCCUCUGCGGGACUCAGGCUUCCCGCGAAGCGGGUGUGUCCGCUUGCAGCCCUCGCUCAGGCUCCGGGUUUAGCUGCGGAGUCUCAGAGAAUGAGAGACGUGACACAAGAGGUCCCCAGGGAGCAAGGCCCGCGCCUCCUGAAAACACACAGGCUACCAGGGGGCAAGAUGACUUUAGCCACUGUUUCCAGAUACUUCCUUCAGAUAGAGGAGCAGAUUGACAGAUGAAGCAUAAAACAAGACCAGAUGCUGUGGUUUCCAGGAUGCACUUGGCUCCCCAUCCUUUAUAACCUGGAGCAUUUUUUUGCUUUUCAGAUGUACAACACAGUGAUUCAACAACUCUCUACCUUACUCAGCGCUCUCCGUGGUCCGUUCCUAACGUGUCCAUCGGAGACCAGUCCCAUCAGGAGCCGAAUUCCUUCCCCCCUAGAACUUCGAUCUGCCGUUCCCAUUCUUGCCGGCGGGGCUGCAUAGGCUAUGUCUGUCACCCGAUUGAAUGCGCCACCGAGAAUGGAACAAAUAUGCCUUCAGAGUGGUAUGACUGGUGAGGACACUACAGACGUAUCAGCACAACUCAGAGUCAGACUAGCUCCCUUGUCCUGGCAGCCAUCAGUCAGAUACCUACUGAAUUUGCUGUUAACGAAGCCCGUUCAUCAUCCUCACAAGAGCCGAGCCAAAGUUUGUCACGGUUUUGAGGGAGAGACUCAAGCGCAGAAACUUACAAUGAAAUCUUUAUUAUAUUAAUUAAUAAGUUGGUAAAAUUUCACUUGAGUCAUGCUAGUAUAUUUGGAUAUUUCAUCAAUUCUGCUGUUCUGUGGCAUACGUAUAAGGUAAUGUAACUGACAAACGGGCAUUUUCUUUAACCGACACUCAAUAUAGUAUUUAAUAUGUGCCAGGCACUAUUCUAAGUGCCUUGCAUAUAUUAACUCACUCAAUUCUCACUCAUAUUUACCCUAUGUGGUAAGUACCAUUAUUAUCUACAGACAAGGAAACCAAGGCACCGAGAGGUAAAGUAACAGAGUAACACUAACUUUCCGAGGUCAAAUAGCUAGUAGAUGGCAGAAUUAGGAUUUGAACCAGUCUGUCUGGUUCCAGAGCCUGUGUUCAUACUGAUGCCCUUCCCCAAAUUUGUUGAAAUUAAAAAAAAAAAAAAAUCUGUUACUUAGAUUGUUAGAACUUCUUAAAAGCAAAAAACAAAGUAUAGUGAAUUAGUGCUGCUGGACUCACAACCUCCAAGCUUUAUAAAAACAUUAUUAGAGAAUAUCUUUUGAAUUACUAUGAACAUUUAUGAGAGUCCAAAAUGUUGAUUGGAAGCAAUAUCUAACUCCAUUCUAAGCAAGACUAGGCUGGCUUGCUUAUAUAUAUAUAUAUAUAUAUAUAUAUAUAUAUAUAUAUAUAUAUACACACACACACAU
This is a long non-coding RNA of Felis catus (domestic cat), 1466 nucleotides long. RefSeq lists it as uncharacterized. Lineage: Eukaryota; Metazoa; Chordata; Mammalia; Carnivora; Felidae. The transcript has 6 exons. The record is from RefSeq and is a predicted model, not a curated record.